Molecule: microRNA precursor, 113 nt
Filed under: Morus notabilis
Lineage: Eukaryota; Viridiplantae; Streptophyta; Magnoliopsida; Rosales; Moraceae
Description: mir-395 microRNA precursor family
Rfam family: mir-395 microRNA precursor family
About the family: mir-395 was identified in both Arabidopsis thaliana and Oryza sativa computationally and was later experimentally verified. mir-395 is thought to target mRNAs coding for ATP sulphurylases. The mature sequence is excised from the 3' arm of the hairpin.
Source: Rfam by way of RNAcentral
CUGUUCCCUAGAGUUCCCUUGACCACUUCAUUGGCCGGAAGUAAACUUAAGAACUCUUAAUUGAGGGGUGGAUUAUUUGCCACUGAAGUGUUUGGGGGAACUCCGGGGUUCAU